Molecule: ribosomal RNA, 253 nt
Filed under: uncultured bacterium
Lineage: Bacteria
Description: partial 16S ribosomal RNA
Rfam family: Bacterial small subunit ribosomal RNA
Source: RNAcentral
UACGGAGGGUGCAAGCGUUGUUCGGAAUCACUGGGCGUAAAGGGCGCGUAGGCGGCUACAAAAGUCCGAUGUGAAAGCCCGGGGCUCAACCCCGGAAGUGCAUUGGAAACUUUGUGGCUUGAGUUCGGGAGAGGAGGGCAGAAUUCCCGGUGUAGGGUUGAAAUCCGUAGAUAUCGGGAGGAAAACCGGUGGCGAAGGCGGCCCUCUGGAACGAAACUGACGCUGAGGCGCGAAAGCGUGGGGAGCAAACAGG